UCCCUGGCAGUCCAGUGGUUAAGACCGUGCACUUCCACUGCAGGGGACACAGGUUCAAUCCCUGGUCAGGGAA
RNAcentral lists this transfer RNA (73 nucleotides) under Bos taurus (domestic cattle). It matches the Rfam family "tRNA". From Rfam's summary of the family: Transfer RNA (tRNA) molecules are approximately 80 nucleotides in length. Their secondary structure includes four short double-helical elements and three loops (D, anti-codon, and T loops). Further hydrogen bonds mediate the characteristic L-shaped molecular structure. tRNAs have two regions of fundamental functional importance: the anti-codon, which is responsible for specific mRNA codon recognition, and the 3' end, to which the tRNAs corresponding amino acid is attached (by aminoacyl-tRNA synthetases). tRNAs cope with the degeneracy of the genetic code in two manners: having more than one tRNA (with a specific anti-codon) for a particular amino acid; and 'wobble' base-pairing, i.e. permitting non-standard base-pairing at the 3rd anti-codon position. The record is from Rfam by way of RNAcentral. Lineage: Eukaryota; Metazoa; Chordata; Mammalia; Artiodactyla; Bovidae. RNAcentral also lists the same sequence under 4 other names.